UUGGCAUGUAGACUUUCUCCCCAGACUAUUAUGACUGCAACAAUCACACAGCAGUGCCUUGGCAACAGGCUCCUGGCAGAGUGCUUUAGCCUGGACAUCAGCUGCCCUCUGCUUCUCUGGAGUGAGAGUUUUAUUUUCCUUCCCUUCAGUACAGUUUGCAACUACUACCCACAGUGGCCACUAAUAAAACAGUGCAAAAGAAUGUCCAGGACACCACUGCUUUCCUGGAGCAUCAGUAAUCACAGAGAUAGCAGGAGAUGAUGCUAAUUUAAGAAGACAGCACACAGCAGCUUACCAAACGUCUUCUUUGAUCACUUCUAUAUUUGUUUGUGGCUUCUUUCUCUGGAGAAAUGGAUGUGUACAUUCACUGGGAAGGCUACACUCUACUCCAGCCCCGCUCCCGGUGAACCUUCCAGUUCAACUGCUACUACAAAUACAAACAACAUACACAGAAGAUGUGCAACUGAGGCUGGGAAUCUCAUCUGUAACACAAUUAGGAGAGCUCACAGUGGCUGGAGAAUCAGUAGUGCUCUGGUCCCAAGAAGAACAGAAGGGUAUGAGCAUUUGAUCUGUGAUCUCUGCAGAGCCAUGAAGGCUCAGGAUAGUAGAGAUAUUUGCAUCUCUCUGGCACUCCUAUUCAAAACAAAGAGCUGUCAUGUUGGUGGCAACCUGGAAAAUUCAGUGAGGCCAAAACAACCAACAUGUUUAAUUACAUAUAUUUUGUGAUGCAAGAACAAGAGACAAAAGACACCCAAUGCUUUCUUUACAUCCAACUGAUGCCCAUGACAAAACUUCUCCUGCA
Non-coding RNA from Meleagris gallopavo (turkey), 802 nucleotides. Lineage: Eukaryota; Metazoa; Chordata; Aves; Galliformes; Phasianidae. The record is from RefSeq and is a predicted model, not a curated record.